GACGAACGCUGGCGGCGUGCCUAAUACAUGCAAGUCGAGCGAAUCUCAGGGAGCUUGCUCCCUGAGAUUAGCGGCGGACGGGUGAGUAACACGUGGGUAACCUGCCUGUAAGACUGGGAUAACUUCGGGAAACCGGAGCUAAUACCGGAUACUUUCUUUUCUCGCAUGAGGGAAGAUGGAAAGAUGGUUCUGCUAUCACUUACAGAUGGACCCGCGGCGCAUUAGCUAGUGGGUGAGGUAACGGCUCACCAAGGCAACGAUGCGUAGCCGACCUGAGAGGGUGAUCGGCCACACUGGGACUGAGACACGGCCCAGACUCCUACGGGAGGCAGCAGUAGGGAAUCUUCCGCAAUGGACGAAAGUCUGACGGAGCAACGCCGCGUGAGCGAAGAAGGCCUUCGGGUCGUAAAGCUCUGUUGUUAGGGAAGAACAAGUACGAGAGUAACUGCUCGUACCUAGACGGUACCUAACCAGAAAGCCACGGCUAACUACGUGCCAGCAGCCGCAGUAA
This 511-nucleotide ribosomal RNA is filed under the name uncultured bacterium. RNAcentral describes it as "partial 16S ribosomal RNA". It matches the Rfam family "Bacterial small subunit ribosomal RNA", at positions 28 to 523 of the family's 1533-position model. The record is from RNAcentral.